This 281-nucleotide ribosomal RNA is filed under the name uncultured bacterium. RNAcentral describes it as "partial 16S ribosomal RNA". It matches the Rfam family "Bacterial small subunit ribosomal RNA", at positions 335 to 600 of the family's 1533-position model. The record is from RNAcentral.
ACUCCUACGGGAGGCAGCAGUGGGAAUAUUGCACAAUGGGGAAGCCCAUCGAUGCAGCCAUGCCGCGCUGUGUGAAGAAGGCCAAUUCGGGCUUGGUUAAAGACACUUUUCAGCGAGGAGGAAAGGGUGUGUGCUAAUACCAUACAUCUGUGACGUUACUCGCAGAAGAAGCACCGGCUAACUCCGUGCCAGCAGCCGCGGUAAUACGGAGGGUGCGAGCGUUAAUCGGAAUUACUGGGCGUAAAGCGUGCGCAGGCGGUCUGUUAAGCGAGAUGUGAAAG